Sorghum bicolor (sorghum) is the source of this 1204-nucleotide long non-coding RNA. RefSeq lists it as uncharacterized. The transcript has 2 exons. NCBI's taxonomy places the organism in Eukaryota, Viridiplantae, Streptophyta, Magnoliopsida, Poales, Poaceae. The record is from RefSeq and is a predicted model, not a curated record.
GUGGCGGUGGGUGGCGGUGCGGCGACGGCAAACAAUCUGUGGGGGUGGAGGGGAUUGGCAAGGGAAGGGAAAGGAAGAGGGAGAGGCGAGAGCAGAGAAGGUGUUCGUUGAGAGGGUGCGUUUGGGCGCCACGCCAAAGGCGGCGGGGUAUUUCAAGGGGCUUCUGAGUCGCGAGCGUGGUUCACUCAUUCUAGCCCAAGAAGCUAAUCCGGUGGUAGGAGGUCCGGUUCUAUUCCCGGCCACAGAGACACCAGUUUUCUUCACAUCGGACCGAAACGAUGACACAUUUUCAUUCACAUCCGAAUUAAAAACGGGCCGCGGCAAUCCGGGAAUGGGCCUAGCAACGGGCCAUCCGGCCUAAACGAACGAGGCCUGACUUGCUCCGCUCUCUCCUCUCCUGAAGCUUCUCGCUCGCCGCCGCGCCGCAACACCGGCGGUGGUGGACUGGUGGAGCAGUUCCCUGACGGGGCUUAUGUGCGGCUGCGGAGCCGCGUGGACGGAGGAGGGUACCUCUGUCUCCACGCCGACGAGGACGGCGCGGGGGUGUCCCCGCGCGGGCACCGCGGCUCCCUGAGCGUAGCGUGGCAGGUGCACCGGGUCCUGCACGGCGGCGCCAGCGCCACCCGCGUCCUCCUCCACGGCGCCGCCUACGCCCGGUACCUAGCCUUCAGGCCCGAGAGCGCGCCGCCGCCGGGCCUCCGCGCCCGCCGCGCCUGCCGCGCGGUCCAGUGCGUCUGACGACGCCCCCGAGCAGGACGACGUCCUCUGGGAGGCCGUCGACGCGGGGGACGACGACGGCGGCGACGUCCUCAAUCCUCAUGCGCCACCACAGGUGUAUCUAAACAAGGCCAAAGCUGAGAAAGGGGUAGUGCAGCGCCAAGAGAAAGGGGUGGUAGACGGCGGCCGGCACCAGGCGGAAGAUGCGCGGCAGUGGAGCAGCAGCGAGGAGGGCAAGAGGAUGAGCAGGUUCACGAUGUUUUGUGACCGAUUGGGUUUGUGGCUUAACGCGGACGGACCCGCGAGGACCCAGAUCGAACCGUCUAGCUCGCGUUCUGGAUAGAUCCAAUGGUGUGAGGGCUAAUGGACGAUUUACGUGGCCUUAUCGGGCGCCCGGAUAAUUCUUGUUGGACUGUAUUAAUCUUGUUCGCCUUUCCAUUCCUACUGGUUAACUUACCUAAACAUUAUUGUCUACUCUAGUUUCUGU